Molecule: ribosomal RNA, 2904 nt
Filed under: Escherichia coli KTE54
Lineage: Bacteria; Pseudomonadati; Pseudomonadota; Gammaproteobacteria; Enterobacterales; Enterobacteriaceae
Description: bacterial LSU rRNA
Rfam family: Bacterial large subunit ribosomal RNA
Source: RNAcentral
UUAAGCGACUAAGCGUACACGGUGGAUGCCCUGGCAGUCAGAGGCGAUGAAGGACGUGCUAAUCUGCGAUAAGCGUCGGUAAGGUGAUAUGAACCGUUAUAACCGGCGAUUUCCGAAUGGGGAAACCCAGUGUGAUUCGUCACACUAUCAUUAACUGAAUCCAUAGGUUAAUGAGGCGAACCGGGGGAACUGAAACAUCUAAGUACCCCGAGGAAAAGAAAUCAACCGAGAUUCCCCCAGUAGCGGCGAGCGAACGGGGAGCAGCCCAGAGCCUGAAUCAGUGUGUGUGUUAGUGGAAGCGUCUGGAAAGGCGCGCGAUACAGGGUGACAGCCCCGUACACAAAAAUGCACAUACUGUGAGCUCGAUGAGUAGGGCGGGACACGUGGUAUCCUGUCUGAAUAUGGGGGGACCAUCCUCCAAGGCUAAAUACUCCUGACUGACCGAUAGUGAACCAGUACCGUGAGGGAAAGGCGAAAAGAACCCCGGCGAGGGGAGUGAAAAAGAACCUGAAACCGUGUACGUACAAGCAGUGGGAGCACGCUUAGGCGUGUGACUGCGUACCUUUUGUAUAAUGGGUCAGCGACUUAUAUUCUGUAGCAAGGUUAACCGAAUAGGGGAGCCGAAGGGAAACCGAGUCUUAACUGGGCGUUAAGUUGCAGGGUAUAGACCCGAAACCCGGUGAUCUAGCCAUGGGCAGGUUGAAGGUUGGGUAACACUAACUGGAGGACCGAACCGACUAAUGUUGAAAAAUUAGCGGAUGACUUGUGGCUGGGGGUGAAAGGCCAAUCAAACCGGGAGAUAGCUGGUUCUCCCCGAAAGCUAUUUAGGUAGCGCCUCGUGAACUCAUCUCCGGGGGUAGAGCACUGUUUCGGCAAGGGGGUCAUCCCGACUUACCAACCCGAUGCAAACUGCGAAUACCGGAGAAUGUUAUCACGGGAGACACACGGCGGGUGCUAACGUCCGUCGUGAAGAGGGAAACAACCCAGACCGCCAGCUAAGGUCCCAAAGUCAUGGUUAAGUGGGAAACGAUGUGGGAAGGCCCAGACAGCCAGGAUGUUGGCUUAGAAGCAGCCAUCAUUUAAAGAAAGCGUAAUAGCUCACUGGUCGAGUCGGCCUGCGCGGAAGAUGUAACGGGGCUAAACCAUGCACCGAAGCUGCGGCAGCGACGCUUAUGCGUUGUUGGGUAGGGGAGCGUUCUGUAAGCCUGCGAAGGUGUGCUGUGAGGCAUGCUGGAGGUAUCAGAAGUGCGAAUGCUGACAUAAGUAACGAUAAAGCGGGUGAAAAGCCCGCUCGCCGGAAGACCAAGGGUUCCUGUCCAACGUUAAUCGGGGCAGGGUGAGUCGACCCCUAAGGCGAGGCCGAAAGGCGUAGUCGAUGGGAAACAGGUUAAUAUUCCUGUACUUGGUGUUACUGCGAAGGGGGGACGGAGAAGGCUAUGUUGGCCGGGCGACGGUUGUCCCGGUUUAAGCGUGUAGGCUGGUUUUCCAGGCAAAUCCGGAAAAUCAAGGCUGAGGCGUGAUGACGAGGCACUACGGUGCUGAAGCAACAAAUGCCCUGCUUCCAGGAAAAGCCUCUAAGCAUCAGGUAACAUCAAAUCGUACCCCAAACCGACACAGGUGGUCAGGUAGAGAAUACCAAGGCGCUUGAGAGAACUCGGGUGAAGGAACUAGGCAAAAUGGUGCCGUAACUUCGGGAGAAGGCACGCUGAUAUGUAGGUGAAGCGACUUGCUCGUGGAGCUGAAAUCAGUCGAAGAUACCAGCUGGCUGCAACUGUUUAUUAAAAACACAGCACUGUGCAAACACGAAAGUGGACGUAUACGGUGUGACGCCUGCCCGGUGCCGGAAGGUUAAUUGAUGGGGUUAGCGGUAACGCGAAGCUCUUGAUCGAAGCCCCGGUAAACGGCGGCCGUAACUAUAACGGUCCUAAGGUAGCGAAAUUCCUUGUCGGGUAAGUUCCGACCUGCACGAAUGGCGUAAUGAUGGCCAGGCUGUCUCCACCCGAGACUCAGUGAAAUUGAACUCGCUGUGAAGAUGCAGUGUACCCGCGGCAAGACGGAAAGACCCCGUGAACCUUUACUAUAGCUUGACACUGAACAUUGAGCCUUGAUGUGUAGGAUAGGUGGGAGGCUUUGAAGUGUGGACGCCAGUCUGCAUGGAGCCGGCCUUGAAAUACCACCCUUUAAUGUUUGAUGUUCUAACGUUGGCCCCUAAUCGGGGUUGCGGACAGUGUCUGGUGGGUAGUUUGACUGGGGCGGUCUCCUCCUAAAGAGUAACGGAGGAGCACGAAGGUUGGCUAAUCCUGGUCGGACAUCAGGAGGUUAGUGCAAUGGCAUAAGCCAGCUUGACUGCGAGCGUGACGGCGCGAGCAGGUGCGAAAGCAGGUCAUAGUGAUCCGGUGGUUCUGAAUGGAAGGGCCAUCGCUCAACGGAUAAAAGGUACUCCGGGGAUAACAGGCUGAUACCGCCCAAGAGUUCAUAUCGACGGCGGUGUUUGGCACCUCGAUGUCGGCUCAUCACAUCCUGGGGCUGAAGUAGGUCCCAAGGGUAUGGCUGUUCGCCAUUUAAAGUGGUACGCGAGCUGGGUUUAGAACGUCGUGAGACAGUUCGGUCCCUAUCUGCCGUGGGCGCUGGAGAACUGAGGGGGGCUGCUCCUAGUACGAGAGGACCGGAGUGGACGCAUCACUGGUGUUCGGGUUGUCAUGCCAAUGGCACUGCCCGGUAGCUAAAUGCGGAAGAGAUAAGUGCUGAAAGCAUCUAAGCACGAAACUUGCCCCGAGAUGAGUUCUCCCUGACUCCCUGAGAGUCCUGAAGGAACGUUGAAGACGACGACGUUGAUAGGCCGGGUGUGUAAGCGCAGCGAUGCGUUGAGCUAACCGGUACUAAUGAACCGUGAGGCUUAACCUU